RNAcentral lists this small RNA (1083 nucleotides) under uncultured Nakamurella sp. Its description in RNAcentral is "bacterial SSU rRNA". The stretch from base 1 to 495 matches the Rfam family "Bacterial small subunit ribosomal RNA", at positions 1045 to 1533 of the family's 1533-position model. The record is from RNAcentral. Lineage: Bacteria; Bacillati; Actinomycetota; Actinomycetes; Nakamurellales; Nakamurellaceae.
AUGGCUGUCGUCAGCUCGUGUCGUGAGAUGUUGGGUUAAGUCCCGCAACGAGCGCAACCCUUGUCUUAUGUUGCCAGCGGGUUAUGCCGGGGACUCAUAAGAGACUGCCGGGGUCAACUCGGAGGAAGGUGGGGAUGACGUCAAAUCAUCAUGCCCCUUAUGUCUUGGGCUUCACGCAUGCUACAAUGGCCGGUACAAAGGGCUGCGAAACCGCGAGGUGGAGCGAAUCCCAAAAAGCCGGUCUCAGUUCGGAUUGGGGUCUGCAACUCGACCCCAUGAAGUCGGAGUCGCUAGUAAUCGCAGAUCAGCAACGCUGCGGUGAAUACGUUCCCGGGCCUUGUACACACCGCCCGUCACGUCACGAAAGUCGGUAACACCCGAAGCCGGUGGCCUAACCCCCUUGUGGGGAGGGAGCCGUCGAAGGUGGGAUCGGCGAUUGGGACGAAGUCGUAACAAGGUAGCCGUACCGGAAGGUGCGGCUGGAUCACCUCCUUUCUAAGGAGCUCAUGGCUCUCACGCUUGUCGUGGGGGUCCAUUCGCCAUGUCGCGGACGAGUGUUCCGCGGUGGUGUGCUCAUGGGUGGAACACUGACUGUUCGGUUCGCUGCUUGUUGUGUGGUGUCCAGUACGGCGUGACACGCGUCCGUUGCCCCUUUUUUUGUGGGUGGUGGUGUGGGUCGGCUCCCUUGGGUGGGGGUCAGCUGGAACGGGCCGUGCGGCGGGUGGUGGGUCGUGGGUGCGCUGUUGGGUCCUGAGAGAACGGGCAGAAGGGGAUCCCCCGGGUUUGGGGGUUCUUCUUGUGUGUGUCCUCUUGUAGGGGCCGGCUUGCUGCUAUACCGCUUCGGUGUUGGUGGUUCCUUCGGGGGCUGUCGGUGUUCGGGGUGGGUGGUGGUGUUGGGCUGGUUUCCUGUUUGUUGUUUGAGAACUGCACAGUGGACGCGAGCAUCUUUGUGGCUAAGUUUUUAAGAGCACACGGUGGAUGCCUAGGUACCAGGAGCCGAUGAAGGACGUAGGAGGCUGCGAUAAGCCUCGGGGAGCUGUCAACCGAGCUGUGAUCCGAGGAUGUCCGAAUGGGGAAACCCGG